RNAcentral lists this unclassified non-coding RNA (341 nucleotides) under soil metagenome. RNAcentral's name for it is "partial contains 5.8S ribosomal RNA, internal transcribed spacer 2, and large subunit ribosomal RNA". The stretch from base 1 to 120 matches the Rfam family "5.8S ribosomal RNA", at positions 35 to 154 of the family's 154-position model. The record is from RNAcentral.
GAUGAAGAACGUAGCGAAAUGCGAUAAGUAGUGUGAAUUGCAGAAUUCAGUGAAUCAUCGAAUCUUUGAACGCACAUUGCGCCCUUUGGUAUUCCAAAGGGCAUGCCUGUUCGAGCGUCAUUUGUACCCUCAAGCUUUGCUUGGUGUUGGGCGUCUUGUCUCUAGCUUUGCUGGAGACUCUCCUUAAAGUAAUUGGCAGCCGGCCUACUGGUUUCGGAGCGCAGCACAAGUCGCACUCUCUAUCAGCAAAGGUCUAGCAUCCAUUAAGCCUUUUUUUCAACUUUUGACCUCGGAUCAGGUAGGGAUACCCGCUGAACUUAAGCAUAUCAAUAAGCGGAGGA